RNAcentral lists this ribosomal RNA (1489 nucleotides) under Lactiplantibacillus pentosus. RNAcentral's name for it is "bacterial SSU rRNA". It matches the Rfam family "Bacterial small subunit ribosomal RNA". RNAcentral also lists the same sequence under 1 other name. The record is from RNAcentral. Lineage: Bacteria; Bacillati; Bacillota; Bacilli; Lactobacillales; Lactobacillaceae.
GACGAACGCUGGCGGCGUGCCUAAUACAUGCAAGUCGAACGAACUCUGGUAUUGAUUGGUGCUUGCAUCAUGAUUUACAUUUGAGUGAGUGGCGAACUGGUGAGUAACACGUGGGAAACCUGCCCAGAAGCGGGGGAUAACACCUGGAAACAGAUGCCAAUACCGCAUAACAACUUGGACCGCAUGGUCCGAGUUUGAAAGAUGGCUUCGGCUAUCACUUUUGGAUGGUCCCGCGGCGUAUUAGCUAGAUGGUGGGGUAACGGCUCACCAUGGCAAUGAUACGUAGCCGACCUGAGAGGGUAAUCGGCCACAUUGGGACUGAGACACGGCCCAAACUCCUACGGGAGGCAGCAGUAGGGAAUCUUCCACAAUGGACGAAAGUCUGAUGGAGCAACGCCGCGUGAGUGAAGAAGGGUUUCGGCUCGUAAAACUCUGUUGUUAAAGAAGAACAUAUCUGAGAGUAACUGUUCAGGUAUUGACGGUAUUUAACCAGAAAGCCACGGCUAACUACGUGCCAGCAGCCGCGGUAAUACGUAGGUGGCAAGCGUUGUCCGGAUUUAUUGGGCGUAAAGCGAGCGCAGGCGGUUUUUUAAGUCUGAUGUGAAAGCCUUCGGCUCAACCGAAGAAGUGCAUCGGAAACUGGGAAACUUGAGUGCAGAAGAGGACAGUGGAACUCCAUGUGUAGCGGUGAAAUGCGUAGAUAUAUGGAAGAACACCAGUGGCGAAGGCGGCUGUCUGGUCUGUAACUGACGCUGAGGCUCGAAAGUAUGGGUAGCAAACAGGAUUAGAUACCCUGGUAGUCCAUACCGUAAACGAUGAAUGCUAAGUGUUGGAGGGUUUCCGCCCUUCAGUGCUGCAGCUAACGCAUUAAGCAUUCCGCCUGGGGAGUACGGCCGCAAGGCUGAAACUCAAAGGAAUUGACGGGGGCCCGCACAAGCGGUGGAGCAUGUGGUUUAAUUCGAAGCUACGCGAAGAACCUUACCAGGUCUUGACAUACUAUGCAAAUCUAAGAGAUUAGACGUUCCCUUCGGGGACAUGGAUACAGGUGGUGCAUGGUUGUCGUCAGCUCGUGUCGUGAGAUGUUGGGUUAAGUCCCGCAACGAGCGCAACCCUUAUUAUCAGUUGCCAGCAUUAAGUUGGGCACUCUGGUGAGACUGCCGGUGACAAACCGGAGGAAGGUGGGGAUGACGUCAAAUCAUCAUGCCCCUUAUGACCUGGGCUACACACGUGCUACAAUGGAUGGUACAACGAGUUGCGAACUCGCGAGAGUAAGCUAAUCUCUUAAAGCCAUUCUCAGUUCGGAUUGUAGGCUGCAACUCGCCUACAUGAAGUCGGAAUCGCUAGUAAUCGCGGAUCAGCAUGCCGCGGUGAAUACGUUCCCGGGCCUUGUACACACCGCCCGUCACACCAUGAGAGUUUGUAACACCCAAAGUCGGUGGGGUAACCUUUUAGGAACCAGCCGCCUAAGGUGGGACAGAUGAUUAGGGUG